CCUCGGGCUCCCAGAGUGCUAGGAUUACAGGUAUGAGCCACCAGGCCCAGCCUAGGAAUAGAGUCUUGUUUCACUCUAUAUCCUCAGCACCGAGCACAGCCUGGAUCCUAGGGGGUGGUGGAUCCCUACAGGUCUGUAGACAGGUACGAUUACUAAUGUGAGGUGCUGUGUAUGUACUGUAAUUAUACACAUAUGCAGCAUAUACAUGCUACAUGUAUGUCUAUACUGAAAUUAUUCUAUAGUCAUUAUUUUCAUUUUACAGAUGGGGAAAAGGUGCAAAGGUCACACAGCUCCUGUCACAGGCAGCCAGCCAGGCUCUGAGCAGGCCUGAGCCCUGACCUCCCACCUUGCCCUUGAGGUGGGAGCCGCUGACCAGGCCCUGAAGCGCCUGUGAGGCUGAGGUCAAUGAAGUGGGUGCCGAUGGCCACGUCGUUGACCUUGUCCGAGUCCCGGAUCUGCACCUUCAUGCGUUUGCAGAGUGGGGGGAAGAGGUCUGUGAAGACGACCUGCUCAUUCCACAGUGGCUCGUAGCUGCUCUUCUGCACCGAAGUCUUGCCCUGGCAAGAGGAAGUGAGGGCCCCACGCCCGUCACCCUUCGCCUGUGAUGCCUGUCACCCCAGCUCCAGCCUCCCGCACCUGUACCCCAGUACCUUCUGGCCGGCAAAGAAGAUUUGCACAUAGGGGUCCACGAGGUCCUUGUUUUCACCGAUGAAAGCCUUCUUCACAUUGGCCAUGAGGCUUGUGUUCAUCCGGGGCAGGCCCUCUGCUCGCCUCUGGAAGACCCGAUUCACUGGAUUCCAGCAUUUUCUCACUGAGUCUGGACAACGGCCCAGAAUAUUUCUCAACAGUCACCAUCAGCUACUGGAAUUGGCACCAAAAGAAAUCUCUUGGCCAUCCUGGUGAUAUCCUGCUGGUGUCCCCAGGACCCAGCAGCUCCCGGACUCUGGUCUUCCAGCAUCUUCCAGCAGUUCUCAGCCAUCCCACCCCACCCCUGCCCUGUCAGUCCUUGCCGGAAGAGCUGGGCUGCUUGAGAGGGCGGAGACCAGGCUGAGGGAGAGGGCGGGAAGCGCUGGGGCAAGUCCGCACCAAGAGCUCCCUUUGGGGCUGGGAAGGGCUGGGCUGGGGUCUCCAGGGGCAGGGGUAGGUGGGCCUCACCCUUCAAUGUCAUCCUCAUCCGUCUCAUUGGCCUUGUGGGGCGUCUUGAUGUUGUCCCCCUUGCCCACCACGGCGACGUCGCACUUCACGUAGCCCUUCAGCCCCGCAGAGAUGUCAUCGGGGUCGGAGAGGAUGGCCCACUUGUGAUGGAACUGGUGCUCUGCAGUGGGGAGGGUGGCACUGCUCGGACGCCCCCACCAGGCAGGUCCCGCCCUCAGGGCAGACGGCAGAGCUGGGCGCCUUCUUGGCCCCCAGAGCUGGGACCAGGGCCACAGCUCUGUCUGGCUCUGGGCUAGGGGAUGACAGAGGUUUUCUGGGGCAGGGCAGUGGGGGCGAGGCCCCCGCCAUACAUCGCAUGAGUGGUGCGACUUGGAAGCGAGAGCCUCCUGACUGGUUUCUCUGCCUGCGGCCUCUCCUACCCUCACCACCCCGGUCAGCCCUCACAGGGGGCCACAGAGCAGUCCCACGUGGAGGCCCCUUCUUCCCACUCCCCAGUGCCUUGGGGUGAAGACCAAAGGCAGGUCUGUGGGCUCCUGAUGCAGCCCUCCCUGACUCUCUCUGCCCACUCCACCCCAGCCCUGCACUCCCUUCCUGGAGCUGCUCCCACCGCUCUGAGCUCAUGCCCCAGCUUCACACCGCCUUUGUGUCUGCUGUUCUUUAAGCAUGGGAUGUCCUCAUCCUCACUCUCCCCGCCCCCUGCCCGCCCUCAACUCCCCCUCCCUGUUCACUUGGUAAGCAUCUCAUUUUGCUCAAGUGUCUCUUCCAUGCAGCCUUCCCUGACUUCCUCAGAAGAGCUGAUCCUGGCCUCUUUGGUGCACUCGGUGUAACACACACGCCUCCCAUCCUGCUGUGCACUGUGACUAUCUGCGUAUUGGUAUCUCCAAUUUAGACUGACAGCCUCCUAAAGACAAGGACUGGCAGUCUUAUUCCAGUGUCCCAGGAGCCAGGACUGUGUGGAGGGAAGGACAAAUGUCAGGGAAGGAGGCGCUUUAGGAAGGGUUUGCCCCUCCAGGUUUACUGUAAACGGGAGACACAAGCAAGGGGCAGGCCGGUGCCUGGCUGUGCGUCUUUUUCCUGCUGUUUCGUGUGGGCACUGGCCUUUCCAGGGCUCAGCCCCGCCCUCCUUCCCUCCUCUUUCACCUUCUACUGUCGCCCUGGCCUCCAAGGUGGGCUCCCCGAGGUGCGUUAGGGUCUGUUUGCAGAAGCCAGCCUGUCUGGGGAUGGCUUUAUGUGUAUCAUCUUGGGUUUCGGACUCGGAUUCCCUAGUCUGAGUCCCAGUUAUGACAUGUUCUAGCCAAGUGUCUGCUCGGUUAAACCACAAGAAAUCACCAAUUUGUUCAACCUGUAAGUUUAGCAGCAUCUCCAAGCUAUUAAUACUUCAUUUCUCUUAGCCUUAUUUAUCUCAUCUGUAAAAUGGGAAGAGAUGCGGCUGCCUACCUCACUGUUUUGUGAGGGUUGAAUGUGGCAAUUCGGGUGAAAUUACGUUGUCACUGUCAAAGGGCCUGAUGUGGUUAUUACUGUGCUCUGAGCAGUGGGUUCACUCUAGGGACACCUGGUGGUCCCCGAACUGGCCACGUGGUGAGCUGUCAUCUGGCAGGCUGAGGGCCCUCCUCUGCCUCGCCCACGGUCACAUGCCCUCUGGGCCACCCUUUGGGGUUCCCUCACCAGCUCCAUGUGGUGUGGGUCCACAAGCACCCACAAAGCUGCCAGUCAGCCAUGGCCCCCCGCGGCUGCUCCUCAGGCAGCCUGGGUCUCUUGUAUUAAUAAAAAGUGG
Long non-coding RNA from Lemur catta (Ring-tailed lemur), 2929 nucleotides. RefSeq lists it as uncharacterized. The record is from RefSeq and is a predicted model, not a curated record. NCBI's taxonomy places the organism in Eukaryota, Metazoa, Chordata, Mammalia, Primates, Lemuridae. The transcript is spliced from 4 exons.